GCAGCUUCGUGGACAUCACCUGUGAGGGUGACAGCUCUUUACUCUCAAUGGAGGAAAGUGAAGCCAGGCUUACUGAGGAAAAAAAACAACCCUCAGAAAUCAAAAUCAGACAGCUAUACCCGGUCUGGCUGCCCCAGAGCGGGAAGACCUGAACCUUGGCAGGGCUGGCUGCUGUGCUGACCAGUCUGAUAUCAAGAAGAGAAGUGAUUUUCCGAUCCUGCAUCCGGUACAGCUGUGCGGACUCUGCUCUUCCUGCCAUUCCAC
This 264-nucleotide long non-coding RNA is filed under the name Homo sapiens (human). RNAcentral's name for it is "non-protein coding lnc-COPS8-17:3". The record is from RNAcentral. Lineage: Eukaryota; Metazoa; Chordata; Mammalia; Primates; Hominidae.